RNAcentral lists this ribosomal RNA (498 nucleotides) under uncultured bacterium. RNAcentral describes it as "partial 16S ribosomal RNA". It matches the Rfam family "Bacterial small subunit ribosomal RNA", at positions 28 to 507 of the family's 1533-position model. The record is from RNAcentral.
GACGAACGCUGGCGGCGUGCCUAAUACAUGCUAGUCGAACGAGAGCGCCCGGUGCUUGCACUGGGCAAUCUAGUGGCGAACGUGUGAGUAACACGUGGGUAACCUGCCCAGCAGAGGGGGAUAACAUCCGGAAACGGAUGCUAAAACCGCAUAGGUCUUCGAGCCGCAUGGCUUGAAGAGGAAAAGAGGCGCAAGCUUCUGCUGAGGGAUCGACCCGCGGUGCAUUAGAUAGUUGGUGAGGUAACGGUUCACCAAGGCCGGGAAGCAUCGCCGACCUGAGGGGGUGAUCGGCUACCUUGGGUCUGAGACACGGCCCAAGGUCCUACGAGAGGCAGCAGUAGGGAAUCUUCCGCAAUGGGCGACAGUCUGACGGAGAAAGGCCUCGUGUGUGAAGAAGGUUUUCGGAGCGUAAAGCUCUGUUGUUAGUGAAGAACAGGUUUUAGAGUAGCUGUUGGCGCCGUGACGGUACCUAACCAGAAAGCCACGGCUAACUACGUG